AGAGUUUGAUCCUGGCUCAGGACGAACGCUGGCGGCGUGCCUAACACAUGCAAGUCGAACGGUUCUAAGCGCGAGCUUAGGAUAGUGGCGAACGGGUGAGUAAAAGGUAGGAAUCUACCCCUUGGACGGAGAUAGCUACUGGAAACGGUAGGUAAACUUCGAUAAGCCCGAGAGGGGAAAGUGGUGAGACAGCCGAGGGAUGAGCCUACUCUCCAUCAGGUAGUUGGUGAGAUAAAAGCUUACCAAGCCGAUGACGGAUAACCGGUGUGAGAGCAUGAACGGUCACAAGGGCACUGAGAGACGGGCCCUACUCCUACGGGAGGCAGCAGUGGGGAAUCUUGGACAAUGGGCGAAAGCCUGAUCCAGCGACGCCGCGUGGAGGAAGAAGUCCUUCGGGAUGUAAACUUCUGAACUAGCCGAAUAAAAGGCCUGUGGACACACAGGAGAAGAAAGUAGGCUAGGAAAAGUCCCGGCUAACUACGUGCCAGCAGCCGCGGUAAGACGUAGGGGGCAAGCGUUACCCGGAAUUACUGGGCGUAAAGGGGGCGUAGGCGGUAAAAGAAGUCAUCUGUGAAAACCUAUUGCUCAACGAUAGGCUAGCGGAUGAAACUGAAUUACUUGAGGGCACCAGAGGUAGACGGAAUUACCCGAGUAGGGGUGAAAUCCGCAGAUACGGGUAGGAACGCCGGUGGAGAAGUCGGUCUACUGGGGUGCACCAGACGCUGAGGCCCGAAAGCUAGGGGAGCAAACCGGAUUAGAUACCCGGGUAGUCCUAGCCGUAAACGAUGCUCACUAGGUGUAGGGAGUGAUAAACUCUCUGUGCUGAAGCGAACGCGCUAAGUGAGCCGCCUGGGGAGUGCGUCCGCAAGGAUGAAACUCAAAGGAAUUGACGGGGGUCCGCACAAGCGGUGGAGCAUGUGGUUUAAUUCGAUGGUAACCGAAGAACCUUACCAGGGAUUGACAUGUAACUGAAGGUAGAGAAAUCUACUGGCCUGCUGCAAAGCGGGAGGUUACACAGGUGGUGCACGGCCGUCGUCAGCUCGUGCCGUGAGGUGUUGGGUUAAGUCCCGCAACGAGCGCAACCC
This 1085-nucleotide ribosomal RNA is filed under the name uncultured bacterium. RNAcentral describes it as "bacterial SSU rRNA". It matches the Rfam family "Bacterial small subunit ribosomal RNA", at positions 8 to 1104 of the family's 1533-position model. The record is from RNAcentral.